Molecule: unclassified non-coding RNA, 3279 nt
Filed under: Bactrocera latifrons
Lineage: Eukaryota; Metazoa; Arthropoda; Insecta; Diptera; Tephritidae
Description: nicotinate phosphoribosyltransferase, transcript variant X7
Source: RNAcentral
AGUGUCAAAUGUGACAGCUUGAAAUUUUUUAACAAAUCAUAUAUAUAUAUAGACGUUUAUAGACGUUUUCUUAUCAGAAAUAACAUUCUCCUACGAGGGAAAAUUAUUAGUAAAUUCGUGACGGAAGGAAGUUGAAAGUGUAUGCACAAAAAGGAUAUCAGUACAACGUUUUGAAAAAUUUAACAUUUUAAAAUACUUCUCAUAACUCAGUAAAACCGGGAAGCUUAAAUGUAAAGAGAAGUACUAAUAGAUGUUUAAUUGUUUAUCCUGACGGACUUUUAAACGCUGGCUGUAUGUACUAUAUUACUAUAUAUGUAUAUAGUAUAUUGUUUACAAUUAUUUGUAUUCAGUCAGUAAAAUAAUUUAUAAAUUUUAAAAUCAACAAGGGACUGCAUGCCGAUAUUUUCGUAACAAAAAGAGAUAAGGUAUUAAAAUGAGUCAACUUCAAAGUUCUAAUUCGGGUGGUCAAUUUAUGGAUCGGGGGCGCAUGAAUCAAAAUGGUGUUGUCCAGCCUCUUUUAACAGAUCUUUAUCAGAUUACGAUGGCAUACGCUUAUUGGAAGUCAGGAAAAACUGAUGACCAAUCGGUAUUUGAUUUGUUCUUUCGAACGAAUCCAUUUCAUGGAGAAUUCACCAUAUUUGCUGGACUGGAGGAAUGUCUAAAAUUUUUAGAUAGUUUCCACUACUCAGAUAGCGAUAUUGACUAUCUGAGGCAAACAUUACCCGAAGGUGUAGAAAAUGAUUUUUUUGAAUACUUAGCCAGUUUGACGGCAAAAGAUGUUACCUUAUACGCCAUCGAUGAGGGUACAGUGGCCUUUCCAAGGGUACCUAUUAUCAAAGUUGAAGGACCUUUGAUAAUUGUGCAGCUUUUGGAAACAACAUUAUUGACGUUGGUGAAUUAUGCAAGUUUAAUGGCAACGAAUGCUGCUCGUUAUCGUAUGGUGGCUGGAAAACAUGUCAAACUUUUAGAAUUCGGCCUACGUCGUGCUCAAGGCCCAGAUGGAGGAUUAUCGGCAUCAAAAUAUUCUUAUACUGGGGGCUUUGAUGGAACAUCUAACGUGCUGGCAGGAAAACUAUUCAAUAUACCUGUUAAGGGCACCCAUGCACAUGCUUACAUAACGUCAUUUUCUGGUAUUGGAGAGUUAAAAACCCGCUUAUUAAGACAUAAGACAACAGGUAUAACUGGCGAUCUAUUGGACCACGCUGUCCGACAUCGUCAGGCAUUGGCCCAUGUGCUCGACGUAUCCCAGGAGGAGUCUAGUGAAGGCGAAUUGGCGGCAAUGGUGUCCUAUGCAAUAGCGUUUCCCGAUGGAUUCAUGGCGCUAGUCGAUACGUACGAUGUUAAGAGCAAAGUACAAACUUCGAAGUCAAGCAAAGACAAAAGUGUGACAAUCAAUUACGAUAUUCCUAUCAACUUGUCACAAUCUAACGGCCACAUUCUGCAGGAGACAGUUAAUGGAUAUUUUACCGCAAAUGAUGUGCAUGCAAGAAAUGAAAGUCUAGUUGCUACGAAUGAAAGACCAUGUACUGGUGCAUUACUGGACCUUAAUGAUGCAGUUGAAUCAAGUACGCACUUAAAUUCAGCCAGUAAACCUAAUAUCAUUUCUAUAAACACGACAACAGAUAGACAAACUCUAACUUCUUCUGCUCCAAACGCGUAUCUGCCAAAAUAUGUCGCGAAGUCAUUCAGAAGCGGGCUUUUAAAUUUCUGUGCUGUUGCAUUGGCGCUCAACGAUUUGGGCUAUCAUGCAGUUGGUAUUCGCAUCGACUCCGGAGAUUUGGCUUACUUAUCUUGCUUGGCACGUGAAACUUUCGAAAAGGUCGCCGAAAGGUUUAAGGUGCCAUGGUUCAAUAAGUUAACAAUUGUUGCAUCGAAUGACAUCAAUGAAGACACCAUUCUCAGCUUGAAUGAACAGGGUCAUAAAAUUGAUUGUUUCGGAAUCGGUACUCAUUUAGUUACAUGCCAAAGACAGCCAGCCCUCGGUUGUGUGUACAAGCUAGUUGAAAUAAAUGGACAACCACGCAUUAAAUUGAGCCAAGAUGUCGAAAAGGUCACAAUGCCAGGAAACAAGAACGCUUACAGAUUAUAUAGUGCUGAUGGACAUGCACUAAUUGAUUUACUACAGAAGGUUUCGGAGCCGCCUCCAAGUGUUGGUCAAAAAGUUUUGUGCCGUCAUCCCUUCCAGGAGUCGAAGCGGGCUUACGUAAUUCCCUCCCAUGUUGAAUUAUUGUACAAAGUAUAUUGGAAGGACGGCAAAAUUACACAACAGUUGCCCACAUUAGAACAAGUGCGCGAAAAGGUAAAGAUUUCGCUUAAAACCCUGCGGAAUGAUCACAAGCGCACACUCAACCCAACGCCUUAUAAGGUGGCCGUCAGCGACAAUUUAUACAACUUUAUACACGAUUUGUGGCUACAAAAUGCACCGAUUGGCGAACUCUCAUGAUCUAUAUAAUUUUCUAAUUUCCCGACAAAGAGUCAUGGUGCAAAUCAUAUGAACAUAAAAUUAAAAAAAAAUUCAUCUUAAUUUGAAAUAGGCAGCGAUACAAGCAAAUUACGUUUACAAUUCUCAUUUCAAUACAUUCGUAGAUUUAUAUAUGGAAAUCGGAUUGGGGAAAUAUAAGAUUACAGCACAACUUAUCAGGAAUGCGUCUUGUGCCUUAUGUACACAGACCCGGUUAUAUAUGUAUAAAUGCAUAUGAAUGCAAAUUCGUUUGCAUGACUUUUAAGUACAAUUAUUAGUUAUGCAAAUAAGCGUCAUUGUAGGUAUAUACACCAAUGUGUAUAUAUGAGCUUUUAAAUAGAUGUUAGUUGAACAUUAAAAUUAAUAUUACACUCACAAUGAAACAUACUGAAAUAUUGCAAGUUAAAAAAUUGUCAUAAUUAAUAUAAUAUAUAAUAUUUUAAGAUAUUAUUAAAAUCGAUUGAGAAAUUUCUUGCAAAACGUAAAAUAUGCACAACUUAACCUUCACUAAACCCUUUAUUGAGUAUAGAAUGCAUAACUAAAAUAGCAUUCCGAAUCACGUAAGCCAUUGUGGCAAUUUCUUGUUAAUGAAAACUUUUUGCCUCCCUGACGCACCCGAUGUAGUUUAAGAUUUAUAAUGUCUGUAAUUGAUUAAGUUACAUAUUAUGACAUUAGCAAAGCGUACAUACCAAGGCAUAUUUUAUAUAUGUAAUAUAGUUUGACCGUGUGUUUAAAAUUAAGUGUUGGUUUAUAUUUUUAAAUUAGAAUUAAAAGAUUGGAAACACAAAAAUAAAAUUUGUACAAAAUAAAUCAUCCAA